Molecule: transfer RNA, 76 nt
Filed under: Candidatus Shapirobacteria bacterium CG_4_8_14_3_um_filter_39_11
Lineage: Bacteria; Candidatus Shapironibacteriota
Also listed under: 3 other names
Description: tRNA-Arg
Rfam family: tRNA
About the family: Transfer RNA (tRNA) molecules are approximately 80 nucleotides in length. Their secondary structure includes four short double-helical elements and three loops (D, anti-codon, and T loops). Further hydrogen bonds mediate the characteristic L-shaped molecular structure. tRNAs have two regions of fundamental functional importance: the anti-codon, which is responsible for specific mRNA codon recognition, and the 3' end, to which the tRNAs corresponding amino acid is attached (by aminoacyl-tRNA synthetases). tRNAs cope with the degeneracy of the genetic code in two manners: having more than one tRNA (with a specific anti-codon) for a particular amino acid; and 'wobble' base-pairing, i.e. permitting non-standard base-pairing at the 3rd anti-codon position.
Source: RNAcentral
GCCGGUGUAGCUCAAUGGAUAGAGCAAUCCCGUCCUAAGGGAGAGGUUGUGAGUUCGACUCUCGCCACCGGCACAA